This 930-nucleotide long non-coding RNA is filed under the name Phasianus colchicus (ring-necked pheasant). Its description in RNAcentral is "lncRNA (ENSPCLG00000011290.1)". The record is from RNAcentral. Lineage: Eukaryota; Metazoa; Chordata; Aves; Galliformes; Phasianidae.
GGAAAACUUGUUUUUCCUCUAAAAACUUCCUCAGAUUACUGUAGGUGAAAACUGGAUAAAGAUCAUCUCUCCUUGGAGAAUAUGGACACGGGAAAGGCAAACAUUUAAUGUUGAUUUUGCAUUUGCAAAUGUAGGUUUUGUGAAUGGGAGCAUUUUUAAUAAGAAAAGUCAAGGCUUAGGUGAGCCUUCCUAGAAUUUUGUUUCAUUAUCCUUGACCUGACUGACAGCAAUACUAGCAGUGGGAAAUGAAACUGUUGGCUUAGAUAUUUUUAAGAAAUAAAGUAGUUUAUUCCUAUUGAUUUAAUAUUCUUUCCUUCCAAAAAUUCAUCCAUCUGGGUGUGAAUGCGUGAAAGCUAAUUAAAUUGGCAGCAGUAUCUCUGUACCUCUCACGUGGAAAAUCUUUGUCUUGAGUUAGAAGAGCUUCACCCUCCAGGGCCUUGAUACAGAAGUCAUUUCCAAAGCAGAGGGAAAGGGAAGGAAAUUCCAGUGACCUUCAUCUCAUCAGAUCACAAAAUUCAAAGCAGCUGCUUUACAGGGGAAAAAUAAAAAAAAAAAAACAAAAACAAAAACGGAUCACCACAUUCUCUUGGAAAGGAAUAAAACCUUUGCCUUGAGGUCAGGAAGCCUACAUCUAUUGCUGGGUACCCAUAAGGUUUCUACCAGCUGUCCUUCUUGUCCCUUGCCCAGACAAAGACGCUACCUUGAGAUACUGAUGGCAACUCCAAGUGUUGCAUUUCCCAGAAGUAGCUCACAUGCAGGGCCAGGGUCAUGGCUUGGCAAAACAAAUGUCUUCGAUGUUGCGGGAUGGGGACAAAAUAGGGAAGAGAACAUAAGCCAGCAGUGGCAGACUUCUUCACUGUCCUGAUUUACAGCCAUGGCUCUGAGUUGGUAUCGAUAAAUCACUUUGGUCCUCUUCAAUCCAGCCCUAUC